Onychomys torridus (southern grasshopper mouse) is the source of this 546-nucleotide long non-coding RNA. RefSeq lists it as uncharacterized. NCBI's taxonomy places the organism in Eukaryota, Metazoa, Chordata, Mammalia, Rodentia, Cricetidae. The transcript is spliced from 3 exons. The record is from RefSeq and is a predicted model, not a curated record.
AUCCCCAUCGCCCGCAAGCGGCAGGCAAGGUGGGCGCUCCCCAUCCCCGGGCCAGGCAGUGCCGCUUCCCCCAAGAACCAUCCCAGCGUCCCGGAGGACUGGUCCCUGCCGCCCCCACCCUCCUACCUGUCAGGAAGGAGGAAGCCAGAGACAUGGGAACCCCGGAGCAAUUGAGCAGCAGCAAGACGCAGCAGGUCCAAUGCCGAAUCUGUGCCCAUCCCAGCCACCUGCUGCUUCUGGCCCCAUUCACGGGUGUUAGGCAAGGAGUUCUCAGUCAGCGCCUAUGAGAGAAUCAACCUGGAAAUGGAACUGAUAAUAAUAAGACAACCCCAGAGAUGAAAGGGGAACCAGAGUUCAGAGCUACAACAUGUGUGGUUGAGACAGGAAUCCCAUUUAAUACCACCCUGCACACCCUUCUCCAGUGGGGGACUGUCCUUGACAUUGCUUUGUUUGUCUGGCUUAUGCUAGCCCAUCAUUAAUUCACUUCCAAAGUGUGAUAUCAAUGGUCUUGGCAUAAAAACAUCUCUUAAAUAAUAAAGGCUUUGG